GUGAAUUACCAAAGGGCCAUAA
RNAcentral lists this microRNA (22 nucleotides) under Danio rerio (zebrafish). RNAcentral describes it as "Dre-Mir-96-P3a-v2_3p* (star (passenger))". Lineage: Eukaryota; Metazoa; Chordata; Actinopteri; Cypriniformes; Danionidae. RNAcentral also lists the same sequence under 4 other names. The record is from RNAcentral.